CCUACGGGUGGCUGCAGUGAGGAAUAUUGGUCAAUGGACGAGAGUCUGAACCAGCCAAGUAGCGUGAAGGAUGACUGCCCUAUGGGUUGUAAACUUCUUUUAUAUGGGAAUAAAAUGUUCCACGUGUGGGAUUUUGUAUGUACCAUAUGAAUAAGGAUCGGCUAACUCCGUGCCCGCAGCCGCGGUAAUACGGAGGAUCCGAGCGUUAGCCGGAUUUAUUGGGUUUAAAGGGUACGUAGGUGGAUUGUUAAGUCAGUUGUGAAAGUUUGCGGCUCAACCGUAGAAUUGCAGUUGAAACUGGCUGACUUGAGUACAGUAGAGGUGGGCGGAAUGCGUGGUGUAGCGGUGAAAUGCUUAGAUAUCACGAAGAACUCCGAUUGCGAAGACAGUUCACUGGAAUGCAACUGACACUGAGGCUCGAAAGUGUGGGUAUCAAACAGGAUUAGCGUGUAGUC
This 455-nucleotide ribosomal RNA is filed under the name uncultured bacterium. RNAcentral describes it as "partial 16S ribosomal RNA". It matches the Rfam family "Bacterial small subunit ribosomal RNA", at positions 338 to 795 of the family's 1533-position model. The record is from RNAcentral.